Small nuclear RNA from Hippopotamus amphibius kiboko, 124 nucleotides. Lineage: Eukaryota; Metazoa; Chordata; Mammalia; Artiodactyla; Hippopotamidae. The record is from RefSeq and is a predicted model, not a curated record.
GUGUUGUAUGAAAGGAGAGAAGGUUAGCACUCCCCUUGACAAGGAUGGAAGGGGUCCUUGGGCCUGACAACAUGCUUUCCUCCAGCUGGGCCUCUGCCUGGUGGCUUUGCGGGGAGCUGCUUCU